AUUCGCAGCUGGACACAUCAUUCUACACUGUAUGCAAACAUGCAACAUCAUUUCAUUACACACAGUACAAGGAGUCAGACUGGCAUAUGAGGAGCAAAGGAACCCAGACAGUAGCAUCGUUUCACAAUGUUUCCAUCACCAUCAUCAGUGGAUGCCUUUGCCGUCCGUAGCCUGAGAUUUCAGAUUUGCAGCAAAAAACUUGAUUUUCCCAUUUAUUGGAAUGCUUUGCAGCUAUUUAAGUAUUUUAGUAAGUGUGUUAAAUAAAGUAGUAUUUACUUUUACAAAAAAUUAAUUGUUUGUUUAUAUUUUUAAAGGUUGUACCUUGCAGCCAUCCAUUACAAUGUCACCAAGCCGUAACAAAAGCAGGAGAGGGAAAGUACAAGGCUAUGUUCCCAAAACACACAAGUGACAUACCUUAUGUGGAUGAUGUGAUCAGGCUUGUGUUUGAUGAGGUAUAUGAAGAUAAGCUGAAGGAAACCCCGAUUCCAAUGGACCUGGCAUCACAGUUUGAAAGACCUUCAA
Paramisgurnus dabryanus is the source of this 522-nucleotide long non-coding RNA. RefSeq lists it as uncharacterized. NCBI's taxonomy places the organism in Eukaryota, Metazoa, Chordata, Actinopteri, Cypriniformes, Cobitidae. The record is from RefSeq and is a predicted model, not a curated record.